Molecule: ribosomal RNA, 497 nt
Filed under: uncultured bacterium
Lineage: Bacteria
Description: partial 16S ribosomal RNA
Rfam family: Bacterial small subunit ribosomal RNA
Source: RNAcentral
GAUGAACGCUGACGGCGUGCCUAAUACAUGCAAGUCGAGCGAACGGACGAGAAGCUUGCUUCUCUGAUGUUAGCGGCGGACGGGUGAGUAACACGUGGAUAACCUACCUAUAAGACUGGGAUAACUUCGGGAAACCGGAGCUAAUACCGGAUAAUAUUUUGAACCGCAUGGUUCAAAAGUGAAAGACGGUCUUGCUGUCACUUAUAGAUGGAUCCGCGCUGCAUUAGCUAGUUGGUAAGGUAACGGCUUACCAAGGCAACGAUGCAUAGCCGACCUGAGAGGGUGGUCGGCCACCCUGGAACUGGAACACCGUCCCAGCUCCUACGGGAAGGCACAGUAGGGGAACUUUCGGAAUUGGGGGAAACCUUACGGAACAACGGCGCGUUGGGUGUUGAAGUCCUUGGGACGGAAAACUCUGUUAUUAGGGAAGAACAUAUGUGUAAGUAACUGUGCACAUCUUGACGGUACCUAAUCAGAAAGCCACGGCUAACUACGUG